RNAcentral lists this unclassified non-coding RNA (250 nucleotides) under plant metagenome. Its description in RNAcentral is "partial contains small subunit ribosomal RNA, internal transcribed spacer 1, and 5.8S ribosomal RNA". The record is from RNAcentral.
GUAGGUGAACCUGCGGAGGGAUCAUUCACAUGAUUACUUUAUAUAACAAACUGUGAACUUUAUUUUACUAUUCGUGUUGGGUGUUGUUGAUUGAAUUUAUUCAUUCACAACAUGUUAACAUUGUCAUUCGAUUGAACAUAAGAUAGUUGGCUUGAUUAAUUUAUUAAUCUUUCUCAGCUUUGAUUUGAUAUUACUAAACAUUUUAUCAAUUCAACCAUAAACAUAGAAACAACUCUAUGCCCUGGAUAUC